RNAcentral lists this ribosomal RNA (253 nucleotides) under uncultured bacterium. RNAcentral's name for it is "partial 16S ribosomal RNA". It matches the Rfam family "Bacterial small subunit ribosomal RNA", at positions 524 to 776 of the family's 1533-position model. The record is from RNAcentral.
CACGGGGGGAGCAAGCGUUGUUCGGAAUCACUGGGCUUAAAGGGCGCGUAGGCGGUCGAUCAAGUCAGGGGUGAAAUCCUGCAGCUUAACUGUAGAAGUGCCUUUGAUACUGGUCGUCUCGAGGGAGGUAGGGGUGUGUGGAACUUCCAGUGGAGCGGUGAAAUGCGUUGAUAUUGGAAGGAACGCCGGAGGCGAAAGCGACGCACUGGACCUCUUCUGACGCUGAGGCGCGAAAGCUAGGGGAGCAAACGGG